Molecule: ribosomal RNA, 253 nt
Filed under: uncultured bacterium
Lineage: Bacteria
Description: partial 16S ribosomal RNA
Rfam family: Bacterial small subunit ribosomal RNA
Source: RNAcentral
UACGUAGGGUGCGAGCGUUAAUCGGAAUUACUGGGCGUAAAGCGUGCGCAGGCGGUUUUGUAAGCCAGAUGUGAAAUCCCCGGGCUUAACCUGGGAAUGGCAUUUGGGACUGCAAGGCUGGAGUGCGGCAGAGGAGAAUGGAAUUCCUGGUGUAGCAGUGAAAUGCGUAGAUAUCAGGAGGAACACCGAUGGCGAAGGCAGGUCUCUGGGCUGACACUGACGCUCAUGCACGAAAGCGUGGGGAGCAAACAGG